GAUGAAGAACGUAGCGAAAUGCGAUAAGUAGUGUGAAUUGCAGAAUUCAGUGAAUCAUCGAAUCUUUGAACGCAUCUUGCGCUCCUUGGUAUUCUGAGGAGCAUGCCUGUUUGAGUGUCAUUAAAUUCUCAACUACACUGACUUUGAAUUGGUGUGGCUUGGAUUUGGGGGGAAAAUUGUUGUGGGCUUUUUGUAUAGUCUGCUCCCCUGAAAUUGAUUAGCGGUACCUUUGUGGAACUGUCUACAGGUGUGAUAAUUAUCUACAUCUUAGACAUCUGCUGGAAUGCUGCUUUCUAAACCUUACUUGUAUUGACAAUCUUGACCUCAAAUCAGGUAGGACUACCCGCUGAACUUAAGCAUAUCAAUACGCGGAGGA
RNAcentral lists this unclassified non-coding RNA (376 nucleotides) under soil metagenome. Its description in RNAcentral is "partial contains 5.8S ribosomal RNA, internal transcribed spacer 2, and large subunit ribosomal RNA". The stretch from base 1 to 120 matches the Rfam family "5.8S ribosomal RNA", at positions 35 to 154 of the family's 154-position model. The record is from RNAcentral.